CGGGGCGUAGCGCAGCCUGGUAGCGCGUCUGGUUCGGGACCAGAAGGCCGGGGGUUCAAAUCCCUCCGCCCCGA
Molecule: transfer RNA, 74 nt
Filed under: Acidobacteriota bacterium
Lineage: Bacteria; Pseudomonadati; Acidobacteriota
Also listed under: 1 other name
Description: Acidobacteria bacterium tRNA-Pro
Rfam family: tRNA
About the family: Transfer RNA (tRNA) molecules are approximately 80 nucleotides in length. Their secondary structure includes four short double-helical elements and three loops (D, anti-codon, and T loops).
Source: RNAcentral